RNAcentral lists this ribosomal RNA (431 nucleotides) under uncultured Pelagibacterales bacterium. RNAcentral's name for it is "bacterial SSU rRNA". It matches the Rfam family "Bacterial small subunit ribosomal RNA", at positions 390 to 841 of the family's 1533-position model. The record is from RNAcentral. Lineage: Bacteria; Pseudomonadati; Pseudomonadota; Alphaproteobacteria; Candidatus Pelagibacterales.
AGCGAUGCCGCGUGAGUGAAGAAGGCCCUUGGGUUGUAAAGCUCUUUCGUCGGGGAAGAAAAUGACUGUACCCGAAUAAGAAGGUCCGGCUAACUUCGUGCCAGCAGCCGCGGUAAUACGAAGGGACCUAGCGUAGUUCGGAAUUACUGGGCUUAAAGAGUUCGUAGGUGGUUAAAAAAGUUGGUGGUGAAAUCCCAGAGCUUAACUCUGGAACUGCCAUCAAAACUUUUUAGCUAGAGUAUGAUAGAGGAAAGCAGAAUUUCUAGUGUAGAGGUGAAAUUCGUAGAUAUUAGAAAGAAUACCAAUUGCGAAGGCAGCUUUCUGGAUCAUUACUGACACUGAGGAACGAAAGCAUGGGUAGCGAAGAGGAUUAGAUACCCUCGUAGUCCAUGCCGUAAACGAUGUGUGUUAGAUGUUGGAAAUUUAUUUUC